Non-coding RNA from Cucurbita pepo subsp. pepo (vegetable marrow), 584 nucleotides. The record is from RefSeq and is a predicted model, not a curated record. NCBI's taxonomy places the organism in Eukaryota, Viridiplantae, Streptophyta, Magnoliopsida, Cucurbitales, Cucurbitaceae.
UGACCCAGUCGUCUCGUCGGUUCCAUGGGAGCGCCACUCUUGGAACAACGAACUUCAAAGCUCUUACCCGAAACCAAAGCAGGUUCAGCAAGUCCAAGCGGUUCGUCAUUGCUAUCCUGAGAUAAUGAUGAAGCAUUUUCGGCGCUCUUUCGUGAACUUUCGGACUAGAAUGAUGUUAAAGGAUUGAAAACCGUAUUUGGGUUUUUUGUUGUUUCUCCCAAGCUAGAGCUUCAAGGAUUUUCCCACCACCACCGCCGCCUCCGCCGCCGCCCCACACAACGGACAAAACAGACCACGCCAACCGCCGAUAUGAACUACUUCAAAAAUACUUCAAGGACAGAGCCUUCCUCGAUCCCCACCGCCACCAUGAAGGAUUCGUAGAUAGUAAACGGAAAAUACCCAGUUGUCCAGAUCCUCUUCAUAAUUAGUAGGAUUAAUUCAUUUUUCCAUCCAAAAUACCCCCGUUUUUCUCUUUCUUUUCUUUUUUUCUGCUCGUUCUCUGAGAUUCAACGGAGAAAACCGGGGUUAUUUUGGUUCUCCUCUUUGUUAUAUAUGAAAUCAUAAAGUUUCUUCUUUUCAAUUCA